UACGGGGGGGGCAAGCGUUGUUCGGAAUUACUGGGCGUAAAGGGCUCGUAGGCGGCCAACUAAGUCAGACGUUAAAUCCCUCAGCUUAACUGGGGAACUGCGUCUGAUACUGGAUGGCUUGGAUUCGGGAGAGGAAUGCGGAAUUCCAGGUGUAGCGGUGAAAUGCGUAGAUAUCUGGAGGAACACCGGUGGCGAAGGCGGCAUCCUGGACCAACACUGACGCUGAGGAGCGAAAGCCAGGGGAGCGAACGGG
Molecule: ribosomal RNA, 253 nt
Filed under: uncultured bacterium
Lineage: Bacteria
Description: partial 16S ribosomal RNA
Rfam family: Bacterial small subunit ribosomal RNA
Source: RNAcentral